AUGCGGAGGCGCAAGAAGUUGAAGCUACCAUCUCCACCCUGUUCUGUUCCGCCACCUGAGCCUGUCCAGCUGUCAGAAAGGGACAUCCAUUUAUCUGUCAUGAAAGUUGUUGUAGAAGAGCUUGGGAUCCGUGUGGCUGACAAGGGCACCGGUGAGGUCAUUCGACCCUCAACUGGUACUAAACAGGUUCCACGCAGAGCACCCUGCAAACAAGUUGGUACACUUGAGGCGUCAUCCAGUAUCCCAAAGUCUAGGAAGUCAAGUGGAAUUAAUGCCACUAAAAAGGUGCGGUUUACCAAGACUAGGUCUUCUCCUCGACUAAGAGCAGCAUCUUCACAGCCGAUAGAGGUUGUGGAUCUUGAAGAUCAGCCCACGUUGACAUCUCCUGUUGUCGGUUCACAACCUAUUGUGAUGGGCUCUUCGCCAGCGUCCGUCGAAGCAGCAGCUGCUCCCGAAGUUGCAUCUGAUGUUGUUGAAUCUGUAGAACAACUGGCUACAGUGGCCACCGUCACUGCUGUUGUUGAAGAGCUUGCCACUGCAGCUGUUAAUGAUGAAAUUGAUGCUGAUGAAACUCCUGUCGCGGACACUGCUCAACAUGUUACUGAACCCGUCACCGAAGCUGCCCAAGUGUCCAUGCCCCCUGAAGCCGGAGUGGCUGUUGAUGCAGGAAAAACAGCUCCAGUCCCAGCUGUCAAUUCUGAUGCUCAAGAUGAAAUUGCUGAACUUCAAGUUGCGGAUGAUUCCAAGAAUGUCCAAUUGCAUCACCAAGUUCAAGCUGAAGACGUUAUUGUUACUCCAGAAGCUGCAAGUGAUGAUGUUGUAUUUAGAGUUGAUGGUGAUUUCACCCCACCAAGCUGCUCUCUCGGACUUGGCUCCAUUUUUGGUGUGACGCUUGAAGCUCCACCAGUGGCAGCUAUGGUUUAG
This 924-nucleotide ribosomal RNA is filed under the name Triticum aestivum (bread wheat). RNAcentral's name for it is "partial small subunit ribosomal RNA". Lineage: Eukaryota; Viridiplantae; Streptophyta; Magnoliopsida; Poales; Poaceae. The record is from RNAcentral.